This 434-nucleotide ribosomal RNA is filed under the name uncultured bacterium. Its description in RNAcentral is "bacterial SSU rRNA". It matches the Rfam family "Bacterial small subunit ribosomal RNA", at positions 957 to 1391 of the family's 1533-position model. The record is from RNAcentral.
GAACGCGAAGAACCUUACCCGGGAUUGAAAUGUAGAUGACCGCCGGUGAAAGUCGGCUUUCCUUCGGGACAUCUAUGUAGGUGCUGCAUGGUUGUCGUCAGCUCGUGCCGUGAGGUGUCGGCUUAAGUGCCAUAACGAGCGCAACCCCUGUCUACGGUUGCCAUCAGGUGAUGCUGGGAACUCCGUAGAGACUGCCGUCGUAAGGCGUGAGGAAGGUGGGGAUGACGUCAAAUCAGCACGGCCCUUACAUCCGGGGCGACACACGUGUUACAAUGGUAAGGACAAAGGGCAGCUACCUGGCGACAGGAUGCGAAUCUCUAAACCUUAUCACAGUUCGGAUCGGAGUCUGCAACUCGACUCCGUGAAGCUGGAUUCGCUAGUAAUCGCGCAUCAGCCAUGGCGCGGUGAAUACGUUCCCGGGUCUUGUACACACC